UCAGCUCCAGGACUCAACAUCAUGGAGUAUACAGUGAAUUAUAGCGUGAUAAAGUUAUAAUUUUCACUAAAUUUUCAACUGCACACACUUACCAGUGAACUGUGUGUAAAUCAUCAACUGCCUGUGUAUCAGCUGAUUUUUACACCAGCUUUACAUCCUGAGCAGAAGAUUGUCGUGGAGAGGACGGACCCUUGAUGCUCUGCCUUUUUGCACCACUAAUACAUGCAUGUAUUUUAUUAAUUUGUAAAUAAAGUCUUUAAUAUAAUUUAUAGUUGAGUAUUUAUUUCUAGUUUGCUUAUUAUUUAGCAAAACAUUUAAAGUGCAUGUAAAGCAUUGCUGCAAAU
Long non-coding RNA from Clarias gariepinus (North African catfish), 344 nucleotides. RefSeq lists it as uncharacterized. The transcript has 3 exons. NCBI's taxonomy places the organism in Eukaryota, Metazoa, Chordata, Actinopteri, Siluriformes, Clariidae. The record is from RefSeq and is a predicted model, not a curated record.